UACAGAGACUGCAAGCGUUAUUCGGAUUCACUGGGCGUAAAGGGUGCGCAGGCGGUUGGGUGUGUCAGAUGUGAAAUCCCGAGGCUCAACCUCGGAACUGCGUCUGAAACUACUCGACUAGAGUACUGGAGAGGGUAACGGAAUUCACGGUGUAGCAGUGAAAUGCGUAGAUAUCGUGAGGAACACCAGAGGCGAAGGCGGUUACCUGGACAAUUGCUGACGCUCAGGCACGAAAGCGUGGGGAGCAAAAGGG
RNAcentral lists this ribosomal RNA (253 nucleotides) under uncultured bacterium. RNAcentral's name for it is "partial 16S ribosomal RNA". It matches the Rfam family "Bacterial small subunit ribosomal RNA", at positions 524 to 776 of the family's 1533-position model. The record is from RNAcentral.